AGUGAACGCUGGCGGUAGGCCUAACACAUGCAAGUCGAACGGCAGCACAGUAAGAGCUUGCUCUUACGGGUGGCGAGUGGCGGACGGGUGAGGAAUACAUCGGAAUCUACUUUUUCGUGGGGGAUAACGUAGGGAAACUUACGCUAAUACCGCAUACGACCUACGGGUGAAAGCAGGGGAUCUUCGGACCUUGCGCGAUUGAAUGAGCUGAUGUCGGAUUAGCUAGUUGGCGGGGUAAAGGCCCACCAAGGCGACGAUCCGUAGCUGGUCUGAGAGGAUGAUCGGCCACACUGGAACUGAGACACGGUCCAGACUCCUACGGGAGGCAGCAGUGGGGAAUAUUGGACAAUGGGCGCAAGCCUGAUCCAGCCAUACCGCGUGGGUGAAGAAGGCCUUCGGGUUGUAAAGCCCUUUUGUUGGGAAAGAAAAGCAGCGGGUUAAUACCCCGCUGUUCUGACGGUACCCAAAGAAUAAGCACCGGCUAACUUCGUG
Molecule: ribosomal RNA, 492 nt
Filed under: uncultured bacterium
Lineage: Bacteria
Description: partial 16S ribosomal RNA
Rfam family: Bacterial small subunit ribosomal RNA
Source: RNAcentral